Molecule: ribosomal RNA, 1237 nt
Filed under: metagenome
Description: bacterial LSU rRNA
Rfam family: Bacterial large subunit ribosomal RNA
Source: RNAcentral
UGAAUACGAGACGCUACGGCGUCGAAGCAGUCUGUGUCAUACUUCCAAGAAAAGCUUGCACUGUCAUAAACAAAUAAUGCCUGUACCAUAACCGACACAGGUGGGUAGGUAGAGUAUACUAAGGGGCGCGAGAUAACUCUCUCUAAGGAACUCGGCAAAAUGACUCCGUAACUUCGGGAGAAGGAGUGCCUUAAGAAAUUAAGGUUGCAAUAACAAGAUCCAAGCAACUGUUUAUCAAAAACACAGGUCUCCGCUAAGUCGUAAGACGAUGUAUGGGGGCUGACGCCUGCCCAGUGCCAGAAGGUUAAAGAAGUCGGUUAGCAUUAGCGAAGCUGGUAACUGAAGCCCUGGUGAACGGCGGCCGUAACUAUAACGGUCCUGAGGUAGCGAAAUUCCUUGUCGGGUAAGUUCCGACCCGCACGAAAGGCGUAAUGAUUUGGAUUCUGUCUCGGAGAGGGACUCGGUGAAAUAGACUUGUCUGUGAAGAUGCGGACUACCUGCACCAGGACAGAAAGACCCUAUGAAGCUUUACUGUAACUUGAAAUUGAAAUUGGACUUUACUUGCGCAGUAUAGGUGGGAGGCGUUGAGAAUAUUCUUGCGGGAAUAUUGGAGCCAUCAGUGAGAUACCACUCUUGUAAUGUUAGAUUUCUAACUUUGUAUCAUUAUCUGGUCAAAGAACAGUUUCAGGCGGGCAGUUUGACUGGGGCGGUCGCCUCCUAAACGGUAACGGAGGCGCACAAAGGUUUCCUCUGAACGGGUAGAAAUCGUAUCUAGAGUGUAAAGGCAUAAGGAAGCUUGACUGUGAGACCUACAAGUCGAGCAGGGACGAAAGUCGGUCUUAGUGAUCUGACGGUGCUGAGUGGAAAGGCCGUCACUCAACGGAUAAAAGUUACUCUAAGGAUAACAGGCUGAUCUCCCCCAAGAGUUCACAUCGACGGGGAGGUUUGGCACCUCGAUGUCGGCUCAUCGCAUCCUGGGGCGGUAGUACGUCCCAAGGGUUGGGCUGUUCGCCCAUGAAAGCGGUACGCGAGCUGGGUUCAGAACGUCGUGAGACAGUUCGGUCCAUAUCCGGUGUAGGCGUUAGAAUAUUGAGAGGAGCCUUCUUUAGUACGAGAGGACCGAGAAGGACAUACCUCUGGUGUACCAGUUAUCGUGCCAACGGUAAACGCUGGGUAGCCAUGUAUGGAGAGGAUAACCGCUGAAAGCAUCUAAGUGGGAAGCCCACCUCAAGAUAAG